Long non-coding RNA from Triplophysa dalaica, 1732 nucleotides. RefSeq lists it as uncharacterized. The record is from RefSeq and is a predicted model, not a curated record. The transcript has 3 exons. NCBI's taxonomy places the organism in Eukaryota, Metazoa, Chordata, Actinopteri, Cypriniformes, Nemacheilidae.
CAAUACUGUUAAGGGUAAUAUACAUUUUUUUUUUAAAUAGUAAGAUCAUUUAACAUGUUUCUGUCGAACAACAUAAACGUUAUUGUCAUCCGAACAACUGAAGAAUAAAAAGGCAAAGCUUCAAAUUUGUCUUCACACAAUAAAUGCCAAGACACGCUCUAUUGUGAUCGAUAAGAAUUUAAAAACACAAAAUAAAGCAAUAAGCCACAAUAAGCUGUGGGUUACAGUGCAUUUUAUAACAGCUAAGGGCGUUGGCGCAGUGCCUCAAACCCCAUUGGCUGUUGUAAAAUGCACUGUGACAUCUUAUAUCUGCUUAGAACUCGGCUCAGUCAAUAAAAAUCAAGGAUCAGAUCUGAUUGUUUUUUAAACACCAUUAUGACAUCGUACCGGAUUACUUAAUGAAAAGACGCGCGAAAGUUGUCAGAGUCGGUUGUGAGAGUAGCUUCGAGAUGCUGGCGUUUUGCUUUUCUCUGGUUCUUGUUGCUUUGUUUUACUUGCUCUUGCUCAAUCUGAAAUGGAAGAGGAAGAGAGCCCAACGCGUGUCUGUUCGGCGCUCAAAGCUUUAUAAUGAGCCUGAGACCAAAAAGACGAGCUUGGAGGAGAAGGUCGAGCGGCAGCAAACGUGCAGAAAGUCAUCGUUUCCAGCUCCUGUGCCCAACCUCGGCUGUGAUAUUGAAGAGCCCAUGGAUUGGAUGGACAGCAGUGGAGCAACAUCGAUGAGAACCUUGAUGUCCACCACCGUCAAAUCCAAUGCUUUGAUUCUUUGGACAGACAGCUGUGGACAAAUACGACCGAGGAACUUCAGGUCCACCCUCAACUCAAAAGCUUCUUCGUCCAGAGAGAUUUUGAGACCACGUAACAUCGUUUACAGGAGCACCUUGAUGUCCAAUAAGAUCAGGUCAAAUGGUUCAUCGUCUAGGUCGAAUUUAAGAUGUACCUUACUUCGAAAGAGCCUGAGAACAGCAGUAGAGGAACACAUGAGCACCUUGAUGUCCACUAAGAUCAUGUCAAAUAGUUCAUCACCCUGGGCGAAUAUAACAUGUGCCUUAGUUCACAAGAGCCUGAGAACCUAGUCCAUGGAUUGAAAAAACAGCAGUGGAGGAACACAUGAGCACCUUGAUGUCCACUAAGAUCAUGUCAAAUGGUUCAUCAUCCUGGGCGAAUUUAAGAUGAGCCUUACUUCGAAAGAGCCUGAGAACCAAGUCGAUGGAUUGAAAAAACAGCAGUGGAGGAACACAUGCAAGUGCCUAGAUGUCAACCAACAUCUAGUCAAAUGCCUCAUCGUCCAUAGCACUUUUGAGACGGUGUCACAUCAUUUACAGGAGCACCUUGAUGUCCACUAAGAUCAUGUCAAAUGGUUCAUCAUCCUGGGCGAAUUUAAGAUGUGCCUUAGUUCGCAAGAGCCUGAGAACCAAGUCCAUGGAUUGAAAAAACAGCAGUGGAGGAAGACAUGCAAGUGCCUGGAUGUCAACCAACAUCUAGUCAAAUGCCUCAUCGUCCUGAGCGCUUUUGAGACGGUGUCACAUCACCUUGAUGUCCACUACGAUCAGGUCAAAUGCUUCAUCGUCUGGAGGGAUUUUAAGAUUGCAGACCUAUGGAAACAGCCUCCGCCUCUGCACUGGAUAUUGUGAACCAGCAUGUGCAAAGUUCCCUAAAAAGAUUCACCAAAUUUCCACCCACCUCCCUCCAAGUGCAUCCAUUAAUUAAAAAAUAUUAUACAGUGCAUAAAACA